AAACGCUAUUUAGACAGUUUCAAAGCGCUACGAGCUUGGGAAAGUGGUUUUUCUAACAAACGCAUGUAAGAAUG
Non-coding RNA from Pangasianodon gigas (Mekong giant catfish), 74 nucleotides. The record is from the annotation of a GenBank genome assembly. NCBI's taxonomy places the organism in Eukaryota, Metazoa, Chordata, Actinopteri, Siluriformes, Pangasiidae.